CGUGUAGGCGGCCCGGUAAGUCCGCUGUGAAAGUCGGGGGCUCAACCCUCGAAUGCCGGUGGAUACUGUCGGGCUAGAGUGCGGAAGAGGCGAGUGGAAUUCCUGGUGUAGCGGUGAAAUGCGCAGAUAUCAGGAGGAACACCGAUUGCGAAGGCAGCUCGCUGGGACGUAACUGACGCUGAGACGCGAAAGCGUGGGAGCAAACA
RNAcentral lists this ribosomal RNA (206 nucleotides) under uncultured bacterium. RNAcentral's name for it is "partial 16S ribosomal RNA". It matches the Rfam family "Bacterial small subunit ribosomal RNA", at positions 568 to 774 of the family's 1533-position model. The record is from RNAcentral.